RNAcentral lists this ribosomal RNA (301 nucleotides) under uncultured bacterium. RNAcentral describes it as "partial 16S ribosomal RNA". It matches the Rfam family "Bacterial small subunit ribosomal RNA", at positions 509 to 809 of the family's 1533-position model. The record is from RNAcentral.
CAGUAGCCGCGGUAAUACGUAGGGUGCGAGCGUUAAUCGGAAUUACUGGGCGUAAAGCGUGCGCAGGCGGUUCGUUAAGACAGAUGUGAAAUCCCCGGGCUUAACCUGGGAACUGCAUUUGUGACUGACGGGCUAGAGUAUGGCAGAGGGGGGUAGAAUUCCACGUGUAGCAGUGAAAUGCGUAGAGAUGUGGAGGAAUACCGAUGGCGAAGGCAGCCCCCUGGGCCAAUACUGACGCUCAUGCACGAAAGCGUGGGGAGCAAACAGGAUUAGAUACCCUUGUAGUCCCUGUCUCUUAUAU